This 492-nucleotide ribosomal RNA is filed under the name uncultured bacterium. Its description in RNAcentral is "partial 16S ribosomal RNA". It matches the Rfam family "Bacterial small subunit ribosomal RNA", at positions 29 to 507 of the family's 1533-position model. The record is from RNAcentral.
AGUGAACGCUGGCGGUAGGCCUAACACAUGCAAGUCGAACGGCAGCACAGUAAGAGCUUGCUCUUACGGGUGGCGAGUGGCGGACGGGUGAGGAAUACAUCGGAAUCUACUUUUUCGUGGGGGAUAACGUAGGGAAACUUACGCUAAUACCGCAUACGACCUACGGGUGAAAGCAGGGGAUCUUCUGACCUUGCGCGAUUGAAUGAGCCGAUGUCGGAUUAGCUAGUUGGCGGGGUAAUGGCCCACCAAGGCGACGAUACGUAGCUGGUCUGAGAGGAUGAUCGGCCACACUGGAACUGAGACACGGUCCAGACUCCUACGGGAGGGCGCAGUGGCGAAUAUUGGACAAUGGGCGCAAGCCUGAUCCAGCCAUACCGCGUGGGUGAAGACGGCCUUCGGGUUGUAAAGCCCUUUUGUUGGGAAAGAAAAGCAGCAGGUUAAUACCCCGCUGUUCUGACGGUACCCAAAGAAUAAGCACCGGCUAACUUCGUG